RNAcentral lists this ribosomal RNA (861 nucleotides) under uncultured archaeon. RNAcentral describes it as "SSU rRNA". It matches the Rfam family "Archaeal small subunit ribosomal RNA", at positions 474 to 1337 of the family's 1478-position model. The record is from RNAcentral.
UACGUAACCUCUAAGUGGUUUCCACUUGUAUUGGGCCUAAAACACCUGUAGCCUGUGCAGACAGUUCUUGGUGAAAUCUGACCGCUCAACGGUUAGAAUUGCUAAGAAUACUACUGUGCUUGGGGAAGGAAGACGUAAAGAGAAUUUUUGGGGUAGCGGUGAAAUGUGAUGAUCCCAAAAAGACUACCAGUAGCGAAGGCGCUUUACGAGGACUAUCCCGACGGUGAGAGAUGAAAGCUGGGGGAGCGACCAGGAUUAGAUACCCUGUUAGUCCCAGCCGUAAACGUUGUGGACUAGGUGUUCUAUACCCUACUUGGGUAUGGAGUGCCGUAGCGAAGGCAUUAAGUCCACUGCCUGGGGAGUACGCCCGCAAGGGUGAAACUUAAUGGAAUUGGCGGGGGCUCACUACAAGGGGUGGAUGCUGCGGUUUAAUUGGAUACAACGCCCGAGAAUCUUACCAGGGAAGACAGCAGAGUGAUAGUCAGCCUGAAGGGCUUUCUUGACACGCUGAGAGGUCCUGUAUGGCCACCGCCAGCUCGUACUGUGAAGCAUCCUGUUAACUCAGGCAACAGGCGAGACCCAUGUCAUCAGUUGCUACUCUCUCUUUUGAGGGGGGCACUCUGAUGGGACAGCGAGAGUAAUCUCGAGGAAGGAAUGGUCAACGGUAGGUCUGUAUGAGCCGAAUUUCCUGGGCUACACGCGGCACACAAUGGUUGAGACAAUGGGUUGCUAACCCGAAAGGGGGCGCUAAUCUCCUAACCUUAACCUCAGUUCGGAUUGAGGACUGUAACCCGUCCUCAUGAAGUUGGAAUCCCCAGUAAUCGCGUGUCAUUAACGCGCGGUGAAUAAGUCCCUGAGCCU